AAAUUACGUCUCAAAAGAAUAAAUCUUCAAACUUUCAGAUAAACUAAAGAUGGGUUUUACUAAUGCAUGAAAGUACACGUACUUUCACUGUUUAAUAGUGAGUUUAGUCCAAAAAACUAUUCUGAAACUAUGCAACUAUUCCAGACUAAAAGAUUAAUUCACAAAAUUAAUAGAAUAAAUGAACAAAUGUACAAUGCAAUCGUCAAUAAUGACACGUGCAAAAACAAGAUGGCGGACAAUUUUCCGCGAAAGCCUAAAUCGCAAAAAUAUCACAAAUAUCAAAAUAUUGUUGCACUUUCAUAAGAUGCAAAACUAAACGCCACUAGUGUGCAGUUUCUGCACAAUAUAGACAACAAAAUGAGUCAUACCACAGCGGAAACAAUCAUAAAUUCAAACCACAAUGGCGGGUAUGUGCCCGCGCAGAUUCAAUUUUUGGAACUGCGAAAGUUGCAAAAAUUAUUGCUCGCAGCGCCAGUGAAGUAAAUACUGAUAGUACUUACCUGAAAAUAGAGAUGUCUCUGUUCCAGGAACCCUCAGGCCAGGAACGUAGACACAUAACACAUAGGAUGAUCAACGAUACAAAAGAAGACGUCCGUCUAGUAAUAAGGCUGCAGUAUGACUGUCGAUUAUUUGCAUUGGUUUCCGGUCAAUCGAUUAGCCUCCGCCGUACUGUUCCGGUUACACACCAGUAAAUUUACCACAGAGCUGCGUCACAGACUGUUACACAGAGAUGCGCAAAAGAGCAUGCAAUCAAACGCUACUGACCGUCAAGUCAAAUGUCCUACGGAAGAGUAAAGGGCAACAUAUUUGACAGCAAAAAAACAUACGAGAUCUGAUUUAGUAGGGCUCCGGACAGUUCCGGUUAUUCUCGCAAACGGAAAUCGGUCGAUAACUGUAAACGCAUUGCUAGAUGACGCAAGUACAAAAACGUACAUCAAUAGUGACGUAGCGGCAGAACUCGGCUGUAAAGGUAGAACGGAAAAGGUCAAGGUCAAUGUUCUGAAUGGUCAAGUCGAGACUUUUGAAACUAGACCAGUUUAAUUCGAAAUAAGAUGUGUCAACGGAAGUGUAAAUAUAUAUGUAGCAGCAUAUACAGCUAACAAAGUAACAGGAGCCAUGAAAGUUGUUGACUGGAACAAGUACCAAAGAAAAUGGCCACAUCUUCGUGACGUAACAUUUCCAAAAGCAACGACCAGACCUAUUGUUGACAUCUUAAUUGGACUUGAUUGUGCAGAUUUACAUUAUGCGCUGGAAGAAAGAAGAGGUAGCGCAGGGGAGCCAAUAGCGCGUCUGACUCCACUUGGAUGGAUAUGCAUCGGUAAUCAGUGUUCAAAUUUAACACCGGUCCUACCGACAAAUUAUGCGCGAACAUACUUUGUAACGGAAAUCGAGAAUCUAAACCUGACUCUUAAAAAAUUCUGGGAAGUUGAAAGGGAAUCAACUGAAUCACCUGUCGUUUACAUUGACGAGCAACAAGCACUUAAAGCAGAAAAAAGUCGUGCAUAUUCGAAAAUCAGAUGUAUCGCGUCGCCAUUCCAUGGAAAAGCAACGAACAUGUUAUGCCAAACAAUUACAAAAUGGCACUGAAUAGAUAAGAGAACACAGAUAAAAGACUCAAACAAUGUCCUCAGGUAGCUAAAGCAUACAGCGAAAUCAUCGAACAAUACGUAGAAAAGGAGUACGUGUCAAAAGAUCCGGAAUCUGAAGUGUCCAAUUCAAAGUGGUUUCUACCACAUUUUCCUGUUUUGAGGCUAGAUAAAGAUAAAACAAAAACCAGAAUCGUGUUCGAUGCAGCAGCAAAAUUUGAAGACGUAUCACUAAAUGAUAAAAUACACCAAGGCCAAAUCUACAGCGCGAUCUGUUUGACGUUUUGCUGAGAUUCAUAAAGCAUCCCGUUGCAGUAGUUUGCGACAUAGCCGAGAUGUAUCUCAGAAUAGGCAUCGAUCACGCGGACAAGCCAUAUCACAGAUUCCUAUGGAGGAGAGUGAAUCGUAACCGUUGUCCCGAUAUCUACGAAUUUGAUAGAGUCGUGUUCGGUGUAAAUUCAUCACUAUUCCAAGCACAGUAUGUCUUACAGCAACGCGCAAGGGAAAAUCUCAGCGCAUUUCCAUUAGCUGCUGAAUACCACUCUCUAACCAAUUCAAAACGAGAGCGGUUUCAUCCUGAGAGAGACAUCAAGAUUGGCGAAGUCGUUCUUAUCAUUACUCCGGAAACGACGAGGGGAAACUGGCCACUAGGACGGAUACUCGAGGUUUAUCCAGGACAAGAUGGUCGAGUGAGAGUCGUAAAAAUUCAGUUUGGAAGCAGCACCAUGACGAGAUCGGUGACAAAGCUAUGCCCGUUAGAACUGGACAAUUAAUUAUUAGAAUAUCGAAAAGAACAUACAAAUAGUUUACGUAUUCAAUUGAUUAUUUAAAAUUUUGUUUUACAAUAUUUAUCAAAAUGUACUGUAUUUUGAUGGAGGGGAAAAUGGACAUUAGAUUUGAACGUUUAAUUGGUACAAGCGGAUUGGUUCCAUGACGUGACGUCGAUUUGUGACGUAACGUUAAAGACGUGACGUCGUUACUUAGUGAUGUACUGGAUUUGACACAAGGAUUAUAUAUAUAUUUUGGAUCGUUAAUAAAUGCUCAUACCGAAAGCGGUCCUCAGACGCUGUCAGCGGUAAAAUUUCGUCGAUUGUCCCGAUUUCCGGCUGCUCUUUGUCGACAUCAUCGUUUUCAUUGGUUUGAUUACACCAGCGACGUCAGCUGACGACAGCAUUUUUCUCUACCAUUCGCAUUAACAAUACUGCUCAAAUCCCACUGAGCGGCUCGAUGGAAAUACGACCAAUGGGCGAAGGACUUGUAUUCAGUCAUUGACCCAUUAAGCAUGUUCAGUUAAUAGAAAUAUGCGUGGACAUGCCAAUAAGUUAAGUGAAUAUUGAAAUUCAUAAGCAAUUGCAUCGAACAAACCCCGUCGCUUUGUUUGCAGUGAGUCGUUUACUCUUGUGGAUUCAUUAUUUAUAUUUAUUCAUUAUCCUUUGAAAACUCCAUUCUUUGUCUUCCCACAUCUACAUUGCUGUCUAAGAUGUAAUCACAUGAUAAAACGUGCA
Molecule: long non-coding RNA, 3091 nt
Organism: Dreissena polymorpha
Lineage: Eukaryota; Metazoa; Mollusca; Bivalvia; Myida; Dreissenidae
Exons: 4
Source: RefSeq, a predicted model, not a curated record